UGUACAGCAGAAAUUAACACAAAAUUGUAAAUCAACCAUACUUCAAUAAAAUAACGUCUGUAUCUUAGAAUAGUGAAUAUAAUAAGAACACACUAAAAACUGAAGGAAUGAAAAACAUUUUUGGGACGAGGCACUGUAGGAAUAAGUAUGAAGUAAUUAAAUGAUAUUGUUAUCUUAAACUGUUUGGAACUAAAUGUUUUCUUAUGUUAUAGCUUAUAGGUUGCAAAGUCAGAGAAUAUGAGUUCAGGUAAGAAUCCAGAAGGCUGGUUAGCAGUACGUGAUAGCAGCCUUUCCAGUGAGGUUGAAGAGAGCCCCCCCUGGAGCCCGUCUUUUCCAAUAAAUGGAAAAUCCGACCUGCAAGGUGUGAUGCUUAAGGUCUUCAUUUCCUGCGAGCACAGUAUGAAAAGAUUACUCUACUGAAACAGAGUUAUUCUUAACACAAGGAGUUAGGCCUGUGCAAUAUUGAAGUAUAUCUUCUCUUAUCAACGGUGGAUCAAAGGAGUCAGAAGCCAAUUGCAUUGGGUAUCCCUUGGACCAUCUCAAAAGAAAAGAGUUUGUUCCUUUCCUUUAUAGGUCAUUACAAAACAUUGAGUACAGUUCCCUGGGCUAAUUAUUAGAAAAAUGCAAAUAUGUUAGGACAUUACACCAGCCCUGAUGAUUAAGGAUGGUAAGUACAGCAGAAAUUAACCAAACUGUAAAUCAA
Long non-coding RNA from Bubalus bubalis (water buffalo), 703 nucleotides. RefSeq lists it as uncharacterized. The record is from RefSeq and is a predicted model, not a curated record. The transcript has 2 exons. Lineage: Eukaryota; Metazoa; Chordata; Mammalia; Artiodactyla; Bovidae.